This 798-nucleotide ribosomal RNA is filed under the name Eubostrichus topiarius. RNAcentral's name for it is "SSU rRNA". It matches the Rfam family "Eukaryotic small subunit ribosomal RNA", at positions 101 to 904 of the family's 1831-position model. Lineage: Eukaryota; Metazoa; Nematoda; Chromadorea; Desmodorida; Desmodoridae. The record is from RNAcentral.
UUACAACAGCCGUUGUUUCUUGGAUCUUCAUUUACUUGGAUAACUGUGGUAAUUCUAGAGCUAAUACAUGCAACACAGCUCCGACCGCUCGGAAGGAGNGCAUUUNUUANACCAAGACCAAUCGGGCUUCGGCCUGGAAUCUGGUGACUCUGAAUAACUUUGCUGAUCACACGGUCCUAGCACCGGUGACAGAUCUUUCAAGUGUCUGCCCUAUCAACUUUCGAUGGUAGUUUAUGUGCCUACCAUGGUUGUAACGGGUAACGGAGAAUAAGGGUUCGACUCCGGAGAGGGAGCCUGAGAAAUGGCUACCACAUCCAAGGAAGGCAGCAGGCGCGCAAAUUACCCACUCUCAGCUCGAGGAGGUAGUGACGAAAAAUAACGAGACGGUUCUCUAUGAGGCCCGUCAUCGGAAUGGGUACAAUUUAAACCCUUUAACGAGGAUCUAUUGGAGGGCAAGUCUGGUGCCAGCAGCCGCGGUAAUUCCAGCUCCAAUAGCAUAUACCAAUUCUGUUGCUGUUAAAAAGCUCGUAGUUGGAUCUUUUCCGAGGAUGGAGUCUGUUCAAUGGACAUGUACUCUAUUCCGAGGAUUUUUUUGCUGGUUUUCCUAUGGUGCACUUUACUGGGUGUCAUAGGNGGCUAGCACGUUUACUUUGAAAAAAUUAGAGUGCUCAAAACAGGCGUUACUGCCCGAAUAGUGGUGCAUGGAAUAAUGGAAUAGGAUCUCGGUUCUAUUUUGUUGGUUUUAGGAGCGCGAGAUAAUGAUUAAGAGGGACAGACGGGGGCAUUCGUAUUGCGGCG